AGAGUUUGAUCCUGGCUCAGGAUGAACGCUGGCGGCGUGCUUAACACAUGCAAGUCGAACGGUGAAAGAGAGCUUGCUCUCUGGAUCAGUGGCGAACGGGUGAGUAACACGUGAGCAAUCUGCCCUUGACUCUGGGAUAAGCGUUGGAAACGACGUCUAAUACCGGAUACGAGCUGCGAAGGCAUCUUCAGCAGCUGGAAAGAACUUCGGUCAAGGAUGAGCUCGCGGCCUAUCAGCUAGUUGGUGAGGUAAUGGCUCACCAAGGCGUCGACGGGUAGCCGGCCUGAGAGGGUGACCGGCCACACUGGGACUGAGACACGGCUCAGACUCCUACGGGAGGCAGCAGUGGGGAAUAUUGCACAAUGGGCGCAAGCCUGAUGCAGCAACGCCGCGUGAGGGACGACGGCCUUCGGGUUGUAAACCUCUUUUAGCAAGGAAGAAGCGAACGUGACGGUACUUGCAGAAAAAGCGCCGGCUAACUACGUGCCAGCAGCCGCGGUAAUACGUAGGGCGCAAGCGUUAUCCGGAAUUAUUGGGCGUAAAGAGCUCGUAGGCGGUUUGUCGCGUCUGCUGUGAAAACCCGAGGCUCAACCUCGGGCCUGCAGUGGGUACGGGCAGACUAGAGUGCGGUAGGGGAGAUUGGAAUUCCUGGUGUAGCGGUGGAAUGCGCAGAUAUCAGGAGGAACACCGAUGGCGAAGGCAGAUCUCUGGGCCGUAACUGACGCUGAGGAGCGAAAGGGUGGGGAGCAAACAGGCUUAGAUACCCUGGUAGUCCACCCCGUAAACGUUGGGAACUAGUUGUGGGGUCCAUUCCACGGAUUCCGUGACGCAGCUAACGCAUUAAGUUCCCCGCCUGGGGAGUACGGCCGCAAGGCUAAAACUCAAAGGAAUUGACGG
Molecule: ribosomal RNA, 897 nt
Filed under: uncultured bacterium
Lineage: Bacteria
Description: bacterial SSU rRNA
Rfam family: Bacterial small subunit ribosomal RNA
Source: RNAcentral